AACGAACGCUGGCGGCAUGCCUAACACAUGCAAGUCGAACGAGAUCUUCGGGCUUAGUGGCGCACGGGUGCGUAACGCGUGGGAAUCUGCCCUUGGGUUCGGAAUAACAGUUAGAAAUGACUGCUAAUACCGGAUGAUGUCUUCGGACCAAAGAUUUAUCGCCCAAGGAUGAGCCCGCGUAGGAUUAGGUAGUUGGUGGGGUAAUGGCCCACCAAGCCGACGAUCCUUAGCUGGUCUGAGAGGAUGAUCAGCCACACUGGGACUGAGACACGGCCCAGACUCCUACGGGAGGCAGCAGUGGGGAAUAUUGGACAAUGGGCGAAAGCCUGAUCCAGCAAUGCCGCGUGAGUGAUGAAGGCCUUAGGGUUGUAAAGCUCUUUUACCAGGGAUGAUAAUGACAGUACCUGGAGAAUAAGCUCCGGCUAACUCCGUGCCAGCAGCCGCGGUAA
This 449-nucleotide ribosomal RNA is filed under the name uncultured bacterium. RNAcentral's name for it is "partial 16S ribosomal RNA". It matches the Rfam family "Bacterial small subunit ribosomal RNA", at positions 29 to 523 of the family's 1533-position model. The record is from RNAcentral.